UACGUAGGGUGCAAGCGUUGUCCGGAAUCAUUGGGCGUAAAGAGCGUGUAGGCGGCCCGAUAAGUCCGCUGUGAAAGUCCAAGGGCUCAACCCUGGAAUGCCGGUGGAUACUGUCGGGCUAGAGUCCGGAAGGGGCGAGUGGAAUCUGGUGUAGCGGUGAAAUGCGCAGAUAUCAGGAGGAACACCAAUGGCGAAGGCAGCUCGCUGGGACGGUACUGACGCUGAGACGCGAAGCGUGGGGAGCAAACAGG
Molecule: ribosomal RNA, 251 nt
Filed under: uncultured bacterium
Lineage: Bacteria
Description: partial 16S ribosomal RNA
Rfam family: Bacterial small subunit ribosomal RNA
Source: RNAcentral